UUCGGGGAGAACCAGCUAGC
Molecule: small nuclear RNA, 20 nt
Filed under: Arabidopsis thaliana (thale cress)
Lineage: Eukaryota; Viridiplantae; Streptophyta; Magnoliopsida; Brassicales; Brassicaceae
Description: snRNA_16996
Source: RNAcentral